This 372-nucleotide ribosomal RNA is filed under the name Dexia rustica. RNAcentral's name for it is "partial 16S ribosomal RNA". The record is from RNAcentral. Lineage: Eukaryota; Metazoa; Arthropoda; Insecta; Diptera; Tachinidae.
CAUAAUCAGUAGUCUUUUAAUUGAAGGCUUGAAUGAAUGGUUGGACGAAAUAUUAGCUGUUUCAUUAAUAUUUAUAAUAAAAUUUUAUUUUUUAGUUAAAAAGCUAAAAUUCAUUUAAAAGACGAGAAGACCCUAUAAAUCUUUAUAAUUUUAUAAUUAAAUUUAUUUAGAAGUUAUUGAAUUUAAUUAUAGAAAUUAUUUUAUUGGGGUGAUAUUAAAAUUUAAUUAACUUUUAAUUUUUUAUUUCAUUAAUUUAUGAGUAUUUGAUCAAUUAAUAGUGAUUAAAAGACCAAGUUACUUUAGGGAUAACAGCGUAAUUUUUUUGAAGAGUUCUUAUCGAUAAAAAAGAUUGCGACCUCGAUGUUGGAUUAA